RNAcentral lists this ribosomal RNA (893 nucleotides) under Salmonella enterica subsp. enterica serovar Putten. Its description in RNAcentral is "partial 23S ribosomal RNA". It matches the Rfam family "Bacterial large subunit ribosomal RNA", at positions 606 to 1503 of the family's 2925-position model. The record is from RNAcentral. Lineage: Bacteria; Pseudomonadati; Pseudomonadota; Gammaproteobacteria; Enterobacterales; Enterobacteriaceae.
UUUUGUAUAAUGGGUCAGCGACUUAUAUUCUGUAGCAAGGUUAACCGAAUAGGGGAGCCGGAGGGAAACCGAGUCUUAAUUGGGCGUUAAGUUGCAGGGUAUAGACCCGAAACCCGGUGAUCUAGCCAUGGGCAGGUUGAAGGUUGGGUAACACUAACUGGAGGACCGAACCGACUAAUGUUGAAAAAUUAGCGGAUGACCUGUGGCUGGGGGUGAAAGGCCAAUCAAACCGGGAGAUAGCUGGUUCUCCCCGAAAGCUAUUUAGGUAGCGCCUCGUGAAUUCAUCUCCGGGGGUAGAGCACUGUUUCGGCUAGGGGGCCAUCCCGGCUUACCAACCCGAUGCAAACUGCGAAUACCGGAGAAUGUUAUCACGGGAGACACACGGCGGGUGCUAACGUCCGUCGUGAAGAGGGAAACAACCCAGACCGCCAGCUAAGGUCCCAAAGUCAUGGUUAAGUGGGAAACGAUGUGGGAAGGCCCAGACAGCCAGGAUGUUGGCUUAGAAGCAGCCAUCAUUUAAAGAAAGCGUAAUAGCUCACUGGUCGAGUCGGCCUGCGCGGAAGAUGUAACGGGGCUAAACCAUGCACCGAAGCUGCGGCAGCGACGCUGAUGCGUUGUUGGGUAGGGGAGCGUUCUGUAAGCCUGUGAAGGUGUGUCGUGAGGCAUGCUGGAGGUAUCAGAAGUGCGAAUGCUGACAUAAGUAACGAUAAAGCGGGUGAAAAGCCCGCUCGCCGGAAGACCAAGGGUUCCUGUCCAACGUUAAUCGGGGCAGGGUGAGUCGACCCCUAAGGCGAGGCCGAAAGGCGUAGUCGAUGGGAAACGGGUUAAUAUUCCCGUACUUGGUGUUACUGCGAAGGGGGGACGGAGAAGGCUAUGUUGGCCGGGCGACGGUU